UGGGGAAUCUUAGGCAAUGGGGGAAACCCUGACCUAGCCAUGCCGCGUGGAGGAAGACACCCCUAUGGGGCGUAAACUCCUUUUCUACCGGAAGAAAACCCCGUUUUGCGGGGCGUGACGGUACGGUAGGAAUAAGCACCGGCUAACUCCGUGCCAGCAGCCGCGGUAAUACGGAGGGUGCAAGCGUUGUCCGGAAUCACUGGGCGUAAAGGGUGUGUAGGUGGGAUAGCAAGUCAGAGGUGAAAGCCUGCGGCUUAACCGUAGAAGUGCCUUUGAAACUGCUAUUCUUGAGUCCUGGAGAGGUUGCUGGAAUUCGUGGUGUAGCGGUGAAAUGCGUAGAUAUCACGAGGAACACCAGAGGCGUAAGCGAGCAACUGGACAGGUACUGACACUGAGGCACGAGAGCGUGGGGAGCAAACA
RNAcentral lists this ribosomal RNA (420 nucleotides) under uncultured bacterium. RNAcentral describes it as "bacterial SSU rRNA". It matches the Rfam family "Bacterial small subunit ribosomal RNA", at positions 355 to 774 of the family's 1533-position model. The record is from RNAcentral.